This 253-nucleotide ribosomal RNA is filed under the name uncultured bacterium. RNAcentral's name for it is "partial 16S ribosomal RNA". It matches the Rfam family "Bacterial small subunit ribosomal RNA", at positions 524 to 776 of the family's 1533-position model. The record is from RNAcentral.
UACGGAGGGUGCAAGCGUUAUCCGGAUUCACUGGGUUUAAAGGGUGCGUAGGCGGCUUGAUAAGUCAUUGGUGAAAGCUCGCAGCUUAACUGCGAAACUGCCAUUGAAACUGUCAAGCUUGAAUGUGGUUGAAGUGGGCGGAAUACAACAUGUAGCGGUGAAAUGCGCAGAUAUCGGGAAGAACACCCGUGGCGAAGGCGGCUCACUGGACCAUAACUGACGCUGAUGCGCGAAAGCUAGGGGAGCAAACAGG